UUUUUUUUUUUUUUGUUUUUUUUUUUAAUUUUUAUUCCUCUCCUUUUGCAUUUCUGUGAAGAGAAACCUUUCAUUUUUAAGAGUCAUCCUCAGGUUCUCAGUGACAGACAUUUCCUGAGCAAAGAAAUAUAAGGCUACAAAAAUGUGUGAUUUUUGAAAUUUAUGGCCAGAACUUUAUCACAAUGGAAAUAUUUUUUUCUAAUUGAAGUCUAUGCUGCUGUUAUGACACUAAUUCAAUUAUUCCUUAUAUUACAUUCAUCAUAAUUUUAUCUUCUUGUAAAAGAAGAAUCACUUGUUUCCCUGACAUUGGUAGAGUUGACUUAGGAAGAAAGGGGUGAAUCUGCACUCUAAUAAUGUCCUUUUGCAAUUAAUCAGAAGGGCAGUAUUAAAAUACAAUUAUAGAAUCAUUUAAGCUAAAGAAGACUUUUAUAUCAUUGGUUCUAACAAUUAAUAAUAAAAUAAAACUGAAUAAAUCCACGUGGAGUAAAUAUUAAAUAACCAAAGGCUUAUAACAAAAGAUUAUGCAAAAAGCCUUCUAACAGUUUAACAUAAUAUUCCUGAGAAUCUGAAUACCUCUUUGGAGCAGGUUGGGUCAGAAAUACACUGGAGUUUAGAGAAUACUGAAAAACUUUUCACUGCAGUAAACAAGAAAACCUUUCAAACAAGUCACAAAUCAUCAUCAAAGAUUUCUGGGUGAUGCUGAGAACCUGUGAUAGACAGUGCAUGGUAUAAAAAAUGUCUUGUGCUGGAGGAGCAUCAUCUAUUAUAACUCUGCUAUCCCUUAUGGGCCCUACAUAUGUCAGGAUUUUGUAAAAUGACUCAGAUUUUCCAUGCGCUUCCUGCCAAUAAACAGUGUUUCUAUACAGGCAAUGACUUUAACUAUGGUGGGAGUUAGUAUCUGUAAGGACAUGAAAUGACCACUCUGUUGACAGUCUCAGAUAUUUAUCUUCCAUGACUGUGACUCAUGCAUAGCACAGUCUCACCCACAUGUUUGGCCAUGAAAUACCCUUAUUGAGUAAUAAAAUGCUGAAGGUACAGCUAUUUUUCGCAUAAAAUCAUCAAUGACUCUCUUCCUAUGAACCUCCUGGGGAUUAAACAAGCUGAGGAGGUUGGUUUCCUGGCUUGAAAGAUUCAGAGGAGAUGGGGAGAGUGUCUUAUCUAAGGUAUUCAGAUUUUAAACCUAACCUCUAAGCUAGUCAUAUAAGGCAACAUUCUGAUCAAUAAUAAAUAGUGAUCUGUACUUCCACUGAAGAACAUUUAUUCCAUCCUAAAGUUGAUGAUAUCUUAGAAAUACAGGUAACUGUUUUUAUAUAUCUUUCCUGGCCUCUUUAGUAAGAAGAACACUUAGCUUAGUUCCAUAGGAAGAUAGGAAAGGAACCUACAGCAACGCUUUCCCUGAAUCUCUCCCUUUCAUUCUGCUGUUUGUGUUGUAGGGAACAACCUCUUCCAGGCGGGAGAGGUUUUAAUGUGAUUUCACAAUUUGCAUGAAAAGCCUCUAACAGGCAUUGUCCUCAAACCAUGCCAUCAAAGAUACCAGUUCAUGUGCCAGUCAUCAAAUAUCUGCUCUUCUUUCUCACUUGGACUGUGAUAUAUAGCAGCUGAGGAGAGGUAAAUGCAUGCCACACUUCCCCUGGAAGUGGAUUUUUUCCCAACCCUCAGUCAAUGUUUUUUACUGACCUGCAACAGAAGCAAAGCUGUGAUUCAAGGAGAGAGCUUAUUUCGAUUAAUGGAGUAUGAGGAUGGGGAAAGACAUGUUCAUUUGUAACCUGGAAAUUCUGAGGGGUGCGUUUGUCUCAGGAUCAAUACUGUGGGAGCCACAAAUGUCUCUGCCAUGCUGCCCUCCCCUCAAGAAAAACAUGCAUCAUUUUUCUUUCUUUCAGGUCUCCUUUCUUCUCAUCUCAGAAGGUUUUACAAAUCUUACCCCUUCCUAUCAAAGCAAACUACUAAUGGAAUUUGGUCUUGGAGAAAAGGGAGUAGGGAGAGAAGUUGAUUGUUUUAGAGAGGAAAAUUAUUCUCUUCUUUCUCCUAUCACAGCCCUUUAUUUUCCACCUGGAAAAAAAUAUGUUGCACUUGAAGAAAAUAAUAUUAAAUAAUAUUAUUUUUCAAAAAUUCCAAGGAUGAGGAUAGAACUAAUCAGUAACUUUGAAUUCCAUCUUUGACAAUAUCACCAUCCAUUUAUCUGCAGCUUGAAAGAUGUACUGGUAGCAGCUCACCUAAUGAUUUUAGAACUAGUACUGCUGGUGCCCCAAGCCAAUUUACCAUUAAACAGCAGUUACUUGGAGCCUUUCCACUGUAUAGUCUAAUUUCUGGAGGGAGAGGAGAUGGGAAUUGGUUUCUCUGUGUGCAAUGAAAAGUUGAUUCUCACCAGUAAAGAUUAGAAAUCUUAACAGAUCUACAGUUUUCUGAUGUAUAUUUUAGAGGCAUUUGACAUUAUUCAGAGUGCAGGUCCAUAACAUACAGAAAUGGAAAGCUAAGCCUAGACAAGAAAUGUUAGCUGCCACAAGAGGCAGCAAGCAAUACUUAUUUAUUUAUUUACUUAUCUAUUUAGGUGAAGUGAAACCUAGAGUUAGUCCACAAUACUGGCUGUAGUUAGAAAUCAAUCUUUCUGGACAACCAUGUAGCAGAGACAUAAAUGCAACUUAAACUUUUAGAUAGGAUGUCUCUGCUAUAAUUACCAAUUUUGUGGAUGUAUGUUUUACAAAUGUUGGCCUGUUGAUAAAGCCUGAUGUUCUUCCCACACUCUUCCAAAAGGAGCCUUACCAAAACAGUGUAGUUAUAUUUCCAGAAAGUAAAUGUGCUCAUUCAAAAUGCAUUUGCUUCUGAAGACCUCUACAUCCUUCAACUGCAACUGAAAAUUUUUCAGGUGCCUCUUGCCAAAUUUGCUUACAAUAUGGCAGUACAGACCAGCUGGUGUCAUUCCAGGCCACCAUCAGUGCCAGGCAUAACACCAAUGCCAACAGCUCUCCAUCACUGCUUUUGUCUGACCCUCUACAUGUAACUGGACACUGAUUUUUCUUAUCAGCUCUUUAUUAAGUGAAAUUACUUUUUAAGUCAAAAUUUGUCUUCCGAAAGAUCUUUGUUUUCUUUUUGAAGAAAGUAUUAUAAAAUACCACUUGUUUUACAAUAGGCAAUUAUAUUUGCUGCUUAAAAAAAAAAAAAAAAAAAAGAAAAAA
This is a long non-coding RNA of Taeniopygia guttata (zebra finch), 3173 nucleotides long. Lineage: Eukaryota; Metazoa; Chordata; Aves; Passeriformes; Estrildidae. The record is from Ensembl.